This 252-nucleotide ribosomal RNA is filed under the name uncultured microorganism. RNAcentral's name for it is "partial 16S ribosomal RNA". It matches the Rfam family "Bacterial small subunit ribosomal RNA", at positions 524 to 776 of the family's 1533-position model. The record is from RNAcentral.
UACGUAGGUCCCGAGCGUUGUCCGGAUUUAUUGGGCGUAAAGCGAGCGCAGGUGGUUUAAUAAGUCUGAUGUAAAAGGCAGUGGCUCAACCAUUGUGUGCAUUGGAAACUGUUAGACUUGAGUGCAGUAGAGGAGAGUGGAAUUCCAUGUGUAGCGGUGAAAUGCGUAGAUAUCGGGAGGAACACCAGUAGCGAAGGCGGCCAUCUGGCUGGUAACUGACGCUGAGGUGCGAGAGCGUGGGGAGCAAACAGG